GAUGAACGCUGGCGGCGUGCUUAACACAUGCAAGUCGAACGAAGCACUUUAUUUGAUUUCCUUCGGGAUUGAUUAUUUUGUGACUGAGUGGCGGACGGGUGAGUAACGCGUGGGUAACCUGCCUUGUACAGGGGGAUAACAGUUGGAAACGGCUGCUAAUACCGCAUAAGCGCACAGCAUCGCAUGAUGCAGUGUGAAAAACUCCGGUGGUAUAAGAUGGACCCGCGUUGGAUUAGCUAGUUGGUGAGGUAACGGCCCACCAAGGCGACGAUCCAUAGCCGACCUGAGAGGGUGACCGGCCACAUUGGGACUGAGACACGGCCCAAACUCCUACGGGAGGCAGCAGUGGGGAAUAUUGCACAAUGGGCGAAAGCCUGAUGCAGCGACGCCGCGUGAGCGAAGAAGUAUUUCGGUAUGUAAAGCUCUAUCAGCAGGGAA
This 438-nucleotide ribosomal RNA is filed under the name uncultured bacterium. RNAcentral describes it as "bacterial SSU rRNA". It matches the Rfam family "Bacterial small subunit ribosomal RNA", at positions 28 to 446 of the family's 1533-position model. The record is from RNAcentral.